CUUAAGCAUAUCACUAAGCGGAGGAAAAGAAACUAACUAGGAUUCCCCCAGUAACUGCGAGUGAAGAGGGAAGAGCUCAUCAUUGGAAUCUGGCAGCGUUGCGCUGUCCGAGUUGUAGAUGAGAAGAGUAGGUCAUCUGGACUGCGUGGUGUCCAAGUACAAUAGGCCGUCAGUGGGACAUCAUAGAGGGUGACAAUCCCGUCCUUGACAACCAACGUACGAGUCCAUUACGAUGCCUAUCUCAGAGAGUCGAGCAGUUUGGGAUUUGCUGCUUAAACAUGGGAGGUAGAUUCCUUCUAAAGCUAAAUACAGGCAAGAGACCGAUAGAGAACAAGUACCGCAAGGGAAAGAUGAAAUAGAACUCUGUGAAGGGAGUCAAAAAGACGUGAAAUUGUUGCGAGAGAAGCGAUUCAAGUCAGCGUAGCUAGGCCCAUCAAGCUUCUUGCUUUGGACUAGCUUUGCCAGCGGUCUUGUCCUUUUAGAGACUUGACUUUUGACGUGCCCUGUCCGGUCUAACGGGCAGGCCCUUCGGGGCCAGUGGCAUGGCUGGUGGAAUGGCUUGCAAUCGACCCGUCUUGAAACACGGACCAAGGAGUCUAACAUGUGUGCGAGUAUAAGGGUGGCAAACCCGUAUGCGCAAAGAAAGUGAUAGCCUUUUAUGGCUGAGAAUGGCCUGAUGACCAGACAAGCAAUAUUAUGUUCCUCGUACGGUCAUUGCCCAAGUCCCGUGGUCAGAUCCCAUGGACAUGGAGUUAGAGCAUACAUGCUAGGACCCGAAAGAUGGUGAACUAUGCCUGGACAAAGCGAAGCCAAAGGAAACUCUGGUGGAGGCUUGUAGCGAUUCUGACGUGCAAAUCGAUCGUCUGAUCUGGGUAUAGGGGCGAAAGACUAAUCGAACCAU
Molecule: ribosomal RNA, 901 nt
Filed under: Cantharellus phloginus
Lineage: Eukaryota; Fungi; Basidiomycota; Agaricomycetes; Cantharellales; Hydnaceae
Description: partial large subunit ribosomal RNA
Rfam family: Eukaryotic large subunit ribosomal RNA
Source: RNAcentral